Molecule: transfer RNA, 65 nt
Filed under: Plagiorchis elegans
Lineage: Eukaryota; Metazoa; Platyhelminthes; Trematoda; Plagiorchiida; Plagiorchiidae
Description: tRNA-Phe
Source: RNAcentral
UUCUUGUCUAGCUUAAAAUUUAAAGCGUUGAUUUGAAGCGUCAAAGUUACUUUUGUGGCGAGAAG